This is a non-coding RNA of Peromyscus maniculatus bairdii (prairie deer mouse), 2920 nucleotides long. NCBI's taxonomy places the organism in Eukaryota, Metazoa, Chordata, Mammalia, Rodentia, Cricetidae. The record is from RefSeq and is a predicted model, not a curated record.
UGUACAGAAGUUGUCAGGAAAAUCCAUUUCAGGAGGCUUCACGUUCCCUUUCUCCAACUGCUGGAGUCGCUGUGGUCACGUUGGAUGCUGAGACCCCUCCCUUCAUCUGCCUUUGAAGUAAGGCUGGCGCCCAAUGUGGGGCUUGAACCCACUACCCUGAGAUUAAGAGUCUCAUGCUUUACUGACUGAGCUGGAAGAUAGAAGCGGCAGUGAAGGUGAGAAGCAGAAAGAGAAGAGUUACUCAAUGUGGCCACAUUGGGAAGAGGUUCAGUGUGACACCAUUCCCCUCAAUACGCACCCUGUCUGACUUCUGGGCCUUGGCAUGAGGGUAGGGUGUAAAUAGGAAGCAUGAGACAUUCAGAACUAAGCAGUCCUGAUAAGAACUGAGGAAUGUGGAGGAAGAGACCACUCUCUUACUAGGAAACAAGCCAGGCUGGCCCACUGGAAAAGAACGACUCAGAAGGUUCAGCUAAGAAACCCACUGAGGAUGGCGAACACCUUGGACAAUUCUCUUGCCACCGAGCCAUUAAGAAUUCCUUCCAAGCUGCCUGGUGUGAACCUUCGGCCGAAUCCAGUUCGGCUCAUGGACAACUGUGUCAGCCCUUCCCCGUGGCCAGGCUGUGGGAGCUGGGACAGGGAAGGCAGGGAGGUCGGACGUGCACGCAGUCCCCAAAUCCGUAUGGUAAGAAGAGUUCAAGGAACAGUCAGAACACCGAGAGCAAUGCCAGACCCUGCUCCCAGGUUUCUACGCCUUCUGUAGGCGCCAAUUUAAGCAUGAAGAUAAGCCUGCCGCUUAGUGUCGUCUACCUGUGAGCUGUUCAGAAAUGGACUCCUUGGAUCCUACCAAGUCACAAUCGGCAUUACACAGAGAAAGGGUCUGGAGAGUGUUGUGCUACCCAACAUCAAUUCUGUCCAUUACUGACAAAGUCCACAGGUUUCCAAAAUGGCGCGAGGGUAAUAUUUCCCCCCGGGUGCUUAAGUGUGCAGGUAUGGAUUCCCUUGCACCUGCUUGGGCAAAACAUCUCAUACAGGCCAUCUGGGAUGCAGCUGAGGGAUCUGCUGCUGCAGCAGGUAUUGAAGGAUUAUUGGCUUUAGAGAUAGUUUAGAAAACACAUUUCCUGAUCUCUACUUGCACACACACACACACACACACACACACACACACCAAUCAUUAGUUUUCUAUUCCCCUAGCACCUUAUCCUCCUUGGAUUGUGGUGUUGGUGUGUAUUCUGAAACUAUUCUUUAAAUUUAUCAUUUACGUGUAUGCGUGUGUUCUGAGAGGGACAUGUGCCACAGCAUGUGUGUGGAGGUCAUGCUUUGGGCAGUCAGUUCUCUCCUUCCACGUGGGAUCCAGGAAUAGAAAUUCAGGUAGUCGGUUUUUGCACAGUGCAUUAGUUUGGUUCUGUGGCUGGGGUAAAAAUCAAACCCAUAAUCAAAAGCAACGUUAGGAAAAUAGCAUUUGUCUUUACCUUUCAGACUGCAGUCCAUCAUGGGGAAAACAAGGGCGAGAUCUCCAGGCAGGACCCUGGAGGCAGGAAUUGAGGCAGAGACCAUAGAGGAUCACUGCUUUCUCAAUACACCUCAUGGUCUGCUCAGUUUGCUUUCUCAGUACACCCAGGACCACCUGCCCCGGGAUGGCACCAUCCACAGUGGACUGGGCCUUCUCACGGGCUUGCCAACAGUCCCAUGGAGGCAAUUGCUCAGCUGAGGUCCCCUCUUCCCAGGUCCCCUCUUCCCAGGUGCGUCGAGUCGACACAAACUAACCAACGCACACAGCACUUCCUUUGACCUACUGAGCCAUUGUGUCAAACCAGAUUAUUAUUGGUUUUGGAGGCGUGUUUUUACAAAUUCAUGAUCCUCCUGUCUCUGCUUCUCUCCUGCUGGAACUAGAGGUGUGUACCACCCUAGCAAGCUGUAAAUUUAUGUCUUCACACAUUGGCUUUCUUUAGAAGCCUGUGAGCUCUUCCCUUCUGAUUUGCAUGAGGUGCCAGGAUCUCACAGUGCCUUCAGUCCAAGCACACCCCUGGGAGACAACGACCACCGUAUGGCCAGUGGGUGUGAGCCCACGGGGGCAGACCGAAGGCCAGUACAGAUUAAAAACAAAAGUAGCCUCUUCGUUUAAUGAGCAGUUUCUCGGUAAGAGUUUAUGCUGAGUAUGCAAAUGGAGGCCCUUUCCUGUUGCUAGUUGAAACUGAAAUGUGGCUUCAUCUUCCACCUGGACAUCUUCCUUCCCGAGACAGUCAUCGGAGCAGCGUGGGCCACCAGUGCCACCAGCUCCCUUCCCCCAGCUGUUGCCACCUUCAGCUCAGUGGCCUUGCAGCCAUCCAGGGAAGGCGUGUCUCUAUUUGACCUUCUGUGACAGCGAAUUCCUCCAGCUAACCGCAAGCUGCCUAGAGCAGUUAUUUCCUUUGAUUUUUUUUCCCCUAAAUUUUCUUUUUAACCAGUUACUCUCUUCCAGAGGAAUGACGUUAGAGGAGAAAUCAAUACAGCUGUUUUAUUGUUGGGGGCGAGGGACAAAAGUCAUUUAAAAAACACUUGCAGAAUCUCUGGUUCAAUUUUAAUUUUCCUUUUCUUCCCCCUGAAUGUAGAAAUAUGUGUCCAUUUCACAAGUUUUCUAAAAUGCAGAAACCAGGACCCGUAAGCAAUAUGCCUCUCACCACGGAGGGCGUUGUGGUUACUAGGGAAGAUUUAGUGGCCGUUAGUAUAAGGUCACAUUAAUCAUGUUAGCGUUUUGGCAUUAGUCGACGCUUUUGUCGUCUAAGCCACUAGUAGCCAGAAUCAAAUAAAGGUCCCUGCCAUGUUCUGAUGCCUGAAUCAUGACUGCCUCCCAGGCAGAAAAAGGAAGUGAGCAACAGGAAGAAGCCAAGACAGCUGCUGAAGCUCCACCAGCAAGAGAGAAAAAGUCAAGAAAAUUCCAUAA